RNAcentral lists this ribosomal RNA (254 nucleotides) under uncultured bacterium. RNAcentral describes it as "partial 16S ribosomal RNA". It matches the Rfam family "Bacterial small subunit ribosomal RNA", at positions 524 to 776 of the family's 1533-position model. The record is from RNAcentral.
UACGUAGGGUGCAAGCGUUAAUCGGAAUUACUGGGCGUAAAGCGUGCGCAGGCGGCUUUGCAAGACAGAUGUGAAAUCCCCGGGCUUAACCUGGGAACUGCAUUUGUGACUGCAUGGCUAGAGUGCGGCAGAGGGGGAUGGAAUUCCGCGUGUAGCAGUGAAAUGCGUAGAUAUCGGAAGGAACAUCAGGGGCGAAGGCGGCUUCCUGGGCCAAUACUGGCGCUGAGUGAGCGAAAGCCAGGGGAGCAAACGGG